GAGGAUGUAGCACAGCGGUAGGGCAAGUGCUUUGUAUGUAUGAAGUCCUCGGUUCAAAUCCCAGCAUCCCCA
RNAcentral lists this transfer RNA (72 nucleotides) under Heterocephalus glaber (naked mole-rat). It matches the Rfam family "tRNA". From Rfam's summary of the family: Transfer RNA (tRNA) molecules are approximately 80 nucleotides in length. Lineage: Eukaryota; Metazoa; Chordata; Mammalia; Rodentia; Bathyergidae. The record is from Rfam by way of RNAcentral.